RNAcentral lists this unclassified non-coding RNA (391 nucleotides) under soil metagenome. RNAcentral's name for it is "partial contains 5.8S ribosomal RNA, internal transcribed spacer 2, and large subunit ribosomal RNA". The stretch from base 1 to 122 matches the Rfam family "5.8S ribosomal RNA", at positions 35 to 154 of the family's 154-position model. The record is from RNAcentral.
GAUGAAGAACGUAGCGAAAUGCGAUACUUGGUGUGAAUUGCAGAAUCCCGUGAACCAUCGAGUCUUUGAACGCAAGUUGCGCCCGAAGCCAUUAGGCCGAGGGCACGCCUGCCUGGGCGUCACACGUCGUUGCCCCCCCAUCUACUCCUUCGGGAUUGCGGGGGGCGGAUGAUGGCCUCCCGUGCGCCUCGUCGCGCGGUUGGCAUAAAUACCAAGUCCUCGGCGACGCACGCCACGUCAAUCGGUGGUUGCGAAACCUCGGUUGCCCGUCGUGUGCGGUCGUCGCGCAUCGAGGGCUCGAAAAAAUUGCCGGGCUCCGGCUCGGCUUUCAACGCGACCCCAGGUCAGGCGGGGUUACCCGCUGAAUUUAAGCAUAUCAAUAAGCGGAGGA